This 253-nucleotide ribosomal RNA is filed under the name uncultured bacterium. Its description in RNAcentral is "partial 16S ribosomal RNA". It matches the Rfam family "Bacterial small subunit ribosomal RNA", at positions 524 to 776 of the family's 1533-position model. The record is from RNAcentral.
UACGUAGGGGGCAAGCGUUGUCCGGAUUUAUUGGGCGUAAAGAGCGUGUAGGCGGUUUGGUAGGUCCGCUGUGAAAACUCGAGCUCAACCUCGAGACGCCGGUGGAAACCAUCAGACUAGAGUCCGGAAGAGGAGAGUGGAAUUCCUGGUGUAGCGGUGAAAUGCGCAGAUAUCAGGAAGAACACCCGUGGCUAAGGCGGCUCUCUAGUACGGUACUGACGCUGAGACGCGAAAAGCGUGGGGAGCAAACAGG